CUGACUUAUGAAACCCAAAAUAUUUGCUGC
This 30-nucleotide non-coding RNA is filed under the name Mus musculus (house mouse). Lineage: Eukaryota; Metazoa; Chordata; Mammalia; Rodentia; Muridae. The record is from RNAcentral.